Molecule: ribosomal RNA, 465 nt
Filed under: uncultured Klebsiella sp.
Lineage: Bacteria; Pseudomonadati; Pseudomonadota; Gammaproteobacteria; Enterobacterales; Enterobacteriaceae
Description: bacterial SSU rRNA
Rfam family: Bacterial small subunit ribosomal RNA
Source: RNAcentral
CCUACGGGUGGCUGCAGUGGGGAAUAUUGCACAAUGGGCGCAAGCCUGAUGCAGCCAUGCCGCGUGUGUGAAGAAGGCCUUCGGGUUGUAAAGCACUUUCAGCGGGGAAGAAGGCGGUGAGGUUAAUAACCUCAUCGAUUGACGUUACCCGCAGAAGAAGCACCGGCUAACUCCGUGCCAGCAGCCGCGGUAAUACGGAGGGUGCAAGCGUUAAUCGGAAUUACUGGGCGUAAAGCGCACGCAGGCGGUCUGUCAAGUCGGAUGUGAAAUCCCCGGGCUCAACCUGGGAACUGCAUUCGAAACUGGCAGGCUAGAGUCUUGUAGAGGGGGGUAGAAUUCCAGGUGUAGCGGUGAAAUGCGUAGAGAUCUGGAGGAAUACCGGUGGCGAAGGCGGCCCCCUGGACAAAGACUGACGCUCAGGUGCGAAAGCGUGGGGAGCAAACAGGAUUAGAUACCCGAGUAGUC